CGCGGGGUUGAAAGAUGCUAGUUCUUUCAUGAUUAUGUGAUAGGUGGUGCAUGGCCGUUCUUAGUUCGUGGAGUGAUCUGUCUGCUUAAUUGCGUAUCAAUAAUAGAGACCUAGUAUACGCGUAGACUCAUGCGGUAGUGACCCCCCUUCACAGGGCGCGUGUCGCACGUAUGUUAUACGCACAGGUCUCCGAUAGCAACGAACGUGACCGUACUCUAUUGUUGCAGCGACAAUACCUUUCAACGGGUAUUACCGCUGCUUAGCAAGAUUCGUCUUGCAUUAAACUAUAGAGACCGCUGUUUCUUCUUUAAACCAGAGGAAGGAUACGGCAAUAACAGGUCUGUGAUGCCCUCAGAUGUUCCGGGCUGCACACGUGCUACAAUGAUCAUUGCACUGUGCAUCUAACCCAAUGUGCGCGGACGCCGCCGUGCGUAUAUACUUUAUUGUGUAUGCGUAUCGUGCGUGCGACCGCGCCGAACCUGCUUCGAAAGUAAACAUUUCCAGCGGGUAAUCCAUUAGAAGUAAUGACUCGCAUAGACCAUGGCACACUAUAUGUACCCGCGGGUUCUACCCGGCUCGCCUUUGUGUGAGUGCAGUGCGUAGCUCGUUGUUUGGUACGUGCCACUCCGUAUUAAUUCAUACGUGGGGAUAGAUCAUUGUUUAAUUGUUGGUCUCGGUCUUAACUAGGAAUGCCUUGUACGGGUCUUUGGUUCAACAUACCACCCGGAAUACGUCCCUGCCCUUUGUACACACCGCCCGUCGCUCUUACCGAUGGAUUAUACUAUGA
This 787-nucleotide ribosomal RNA is filed under the name Ammonia sp. genotype T6. RNAcentral's name for it is "SSU rRNA". It matches the Rfam family "Eukaryotic small subunit ribosomal RNA", at positions 1233 to 1704 of the family's 1831-position model. Lineage: Eukaryota; Foraminifera; Rotaliida; Rotaliidae. The record is from RNAcentral.